Molecule: long non-coding RNA, 2148 nt
Organism: Astatotilapia calliptera (eastern happy)
Lineage: Eukaryota; Metazoa; Chordata; Actinopteri; Cichliformes; Cichlidae
Source: Ensembl
AUUAGGAAAGAGUGAUACUCCUGAAAGUCCGGACUCUUCAUUCGUUUUUUUGAUCAUCACUCACAUCUGGUAAUGGCGGGACAAGGAAAAAAAUCUAACUAUACUGGACCAAAACAAUUUAAAGGGAGGCAUUUGAAAUUGAAUGAGUUGGAAAAUGAAGCCCAAGAUACUCAUAUGUACGAGAAAUAUCUCAAGAGCAAGAGCAACAUCCCCCUAUACCCUGGACCUAAAGAGUUUUCACCAGAGUUUCAUGCAUCUGAUCUAAAACACGACACGCAUAGAUUUAGUUUACAAGGAAUCAAGAAUGAUGAAGGCUUCAAGGAUCCAAACAAUGGCUCAGAGGAUCCAGAUGGACUGUCCCUGGUGUGGUUCAGUCUGGCUGUGCAAGAAAGGGAGAUCCGAUCAGCUGAGGAGACGCUCCUGGAGAAGACCAACAUGCAUGCAGAGCCGGGCUUCCUGAAGAAGUUUGCCUCCUCUCCAGCGUUCAGUGAGAAGUCCAGGUAUGGAGCGUAUCGCUUCACCUUCAAGGUGGAGGACGUGCUGAAGGCCUAUAGCGAGCAGUUUUGUUCGGGGAAGCAGCCCUGUAUGCGUGUUCUCAGAACGUCGCUGUACAAACAGGAAGUGAUGUAUGCUGUGCUGGUCCACAGCCCAGACCACAAAGAACGCUUCAAAGACUUGUAUCCUGAGGUGUCUGAUGACCCGGAUGCCGUCUGUGCUUACAGACAUGGACACUUCAUCUGGAGGCCACAGGCCAUGUGUGAGACACACAAGUAAGAAACAGAUAACAACAUCCAUGGAUGUAUAUGCACUAUACAGGUCAUCAUGGCCGUACGAGAAACAAUCACAUCUGGAAAACAGUUUCCCACCUGACACCCUCACUCUGAGCUGUUUUAUUACAGUAACUUUAGUGUAUUUAAUGAAGCCAUGCAUGUUUUUAUCAAUAUUAUCUGAGCUACAGGGGCUUGAAGAAGAUGCAGGUGAGUCUAAAAUGUCUGAUCCUCAAUAACUCCACAGGUAACCCAGAUACCCACAUGGAAUAUCCAGAACUUAGAAACACAUUUGACCUGAUCAGCAGCAGGAUGUUUGUCUGUAGUGAAGUGGCUAAAAGGGACAUAUCAUCCUGUGCCAGCUGGUCCUAAACAGUGAUAUGAGCAUGGAAAACUGCACUUUUUGAAGUUUUCUCCAGUGAAUUACCAAAAAUCAAGUCCACAGGUGUCAGUUUGCUGCAUGAGUUUACAGUUCUUUUGUGAGGUGAUUCAAACGUUGCUUCUCCUCAGGUACAAGCUGACUGUAAAUGACAAUGUGGUGGAAGCUGAGAAGGCGACUAAGCCACAUCAGUGGUAUGUUUGGGACCACAUCACCAUCGCCCUGCUCGUAGAGGGCGGAAAGGUGCUGAAGUUUGGUUCUGAUGAUUUACUACAGAGGCUUACAUUCUGUAAAAAAGAUCAAGUGCUUGUUGGACCAAGAUACUAUGAUUCUCGUGAUCUUGCUGAAAAUUGGGUUAAAACGCUGUGGGGGGAAACAACGUUUGAACUGAAAGAGGAGUCUUCAUCUGUGGAGGAGUCUGCACUUGAGGAGCGUUUUGGAGAUCUCUCUGUUGAUGAAAAAUGACCACAAGAUGAUAAAAUGCAGUCUGAAGACUCCCUGCGACGAGACAGCAGCUUCAGUUUGAAUUCUCUGGGUUCUGCAAACUUUUCUUGUUUCUUAUUUUUAAGUGACCAAACAUAUAACUUCAUGUUGGUGUGGUGAAAGCAUUUACAGGGUGUGAAUUUCACGUUUUAUUUUGUAAUCUUUAGUCAUGCUGAGGAUGUCUGUGGGGUGAUAUUAGUUUAAUAGAUUAAUAGUAUAUUAAAGGUUUAUCUAAUGAACCACUUCCUGUGGUAACUAAGUGCACAGUAAAAGACAAAUGACUAAACAUUCAUGACAAUAUGAGGAGAAAAAUGUGAUCAUGUGUUUUAAUGCAGUCUUUCGGGAUGGGAUGUAUCUAUAUACCUGAAUUAAAGAGAAAUUACUUUGCACACACAAAAAGUGGAAGUUGAAGUUGAUUUAAAACUUUGCUUUUAACUAUGUAAAGCACUUCGUGCUACAUUUUUUUUGUAUGAAAAGUGUUUUAUAAAUAAAGACUGAUUGAUUGAUUGAACAACAACA